GGAUCCAGACUUUGAUUCUGGCUCAGGAUGAACGCUAGCUACAGGCUUAACACAUGCAAGUCGAGGGGAAACGAUAUUGGAAGCUUGCUUCCGAUAGGCGUCGACCGGCGCACGGGUGAGUAACGCGUAUCCAACCUGCCCAUCACUUGGGGAUAACCUUGCGAAAGUAAGACUAAUACCCAAUGACGUCUCUAGAAGACAUCUGAAAGAGAUUAAAGAUUUAUCGGUGAUGGAUGGGGAUGCGUCUGAUUAGCUUGUUGGCGGGGUAACGGCCCACCAAGGCAACGAUCAGUAGGGGUUCUGAGAGGAAGGUCCCCCACAUUGGAACUGAGACACGGUCCAAACUCCUACGGGAGGCAGCAGUGAGGAAUAUUGGUCAAUGGACGAGAGUCUGAACCAGCCAAGUAACGUGCAGGAUGACGGCCCUAUGGGUUGUAAACUGCUUUUAUAAGGGAAUAAAGUGAGUCUCGUGAGACUUUUUGCAUGUACCUUAUGAAUAAGGACCGGCUAAUUCCGUGCCAGCAGCCGCGGUAAUACGGAAGGUCCGGGCGUUAUCCGGAUUUAUUGGGUUUAAAGGGAGCGUAGGCCGGAGAUUAAGCGUGUUGUGAAAUGUAGACGCUCAACGUCUGCACUGCAGCGCGAACUGGUUUCCUUGAGUACGCACAAAGUGGGCGGAAUUCGUGGUGUAGCGGUGAAAUGCUUAGAUAUCACGAAGAACUCCGAUUGCGAAGGCAGCUCACUGGAGCGCAACUGACGCUGAAGCUCGAAAGUGCGGGUAUCGAACAGGAUUAGAUACCCUGGUAGUCCGCACGGUAAACGAUGGAUGCCCGCUGUUGGUCUGAAUAAGUCAGCGGCCAAGCGAAAGCAUUAAGCAUCCCACCUGGGGAGUACGCCGGCAACGGUGAAACUCAAAUGCAAUUGAUC
This 924-nucleotide ribosomal RNA is filed under the name uncultured bacterium. RNAcentral's name for it is "bacterial SSU rRNA". It matches the Rfam family "Bacterial small subunit ribosomal RNA", at positions 1 to 915 of the family's 1533-position model. The record is from RNAcentral.